RNAcentral lists this ribosomal RNA (357 nucleotides) under Dorylomorpha borealis. Its description in RNAcentral is "partial 12S ribosomal RNA". Lineage: Eukaryota; Metazoa; Arthropoda; Insecta; Diptera; Pipunculidae. The record is from RNAcentral.
UAAAAAUUUAAUUAUAAAUAUUUAAGUAGUAUUAGUUAAGAUCUUGAAAUUUAAAAAAUUUGGCGGUAUUUUAGUCUAUUCAGAGGAACCUGUUUUUUAAUCGAUAGUCCACGAUGUAUCUUACUUAAAUUUGUUUUAAUAGUUUAUAUAUCGUCGUUUAUAGAAUAUUUUAUAAAAACAAUAAUUUUCUUAAUUUUUUAUUUAAAAUUAUAUCAGAUCAAUAUGUAGCUUAUGUUUAAGGUUAUAAUGGGUUACAAUUUUUUUAUUAAUGGAUAUAGGUUUGUAAUUUAUUUAUUGAAAUUGGAUUUGAUAGUAAAUUUAUAUAGAUAAAUAAUUUGAUUAUAGCACUAAAAUAUG